CCUUGGCCUCUUAUGAGCAAGUUUUUUGGGUUCAUGCAAAACAGAGGUGUAUGGAGAGGAAUUACAGAGCAAAUGCUAAAAACUCCAUGAACAGCCCGGUCUGAGCGUUAUUCUAGAUUCUACCGUACCAUGGGAUGAAAAGAGAACUCUAAGGUAACUGGCUAGAGAGGCUGCCCUCCUGGGUGCAUUAAUUAGGAGAUUAUCCCACCCUUAGUCUCUGUGGGCCAAUCAUGCUAGUGGUUUAUUUAUAAUUUAUCUGGGAGGGUAGCAUGGGGCUUACUGGAGGGAGGGGGAGCAUAGAAGCAUCAGGACCUCAAAGCAACACACCAGUACACACCUCCGAGCCCUUUCUGGAACUCCAGAAGAGUGAAAGGGAUUUUAACCUUCUGUUGUGGUGUCAGGGAGAAGUGGGGAGCAAGAGCAGCAAAGGAAGAAGUGGGUAGAACCUACAGGAAUAGGGGCACAGGGUGAUUAGUGGACAAAGGAUAUCUGCAUUUUUAGUCACAGGCAGGAGGCUGUGACUACCCAGUUAAACACUCUCUUACUGGUUUAUAUGGACAAAUCACUGUGGAAAUGAGAGUACGGGCAUGGGCAGCUGCAGAUGUUGUAGAGGGGAAUUUGAGGCCCGGAGACAGGCUGGAUCCCCUGGAGAAAUAGGGGUAGAAGUGGGCACAAUAGGCAUCUGGCAGCCUCUGUAGGAAGGAAAACUUCCCUGAAGGGAGGUGUCCCCACAUCAUGGCAUCUGAAAAGAGCUGCCUCCUCACCCCCCAUGGUGGAGCACAAGUUUCAUUCUUAGUACUCAGAAUAAGUAUGGGAGAGGCUUGAGUAAGUAAAUGGGGCCCCGUCUUGAUGCCCAGAGCAUUUAACGAGGGAAAUUGGAAGCCUUGCAGAAUGGGGGAGCAUGGCCCGAUUACCACGAGCGCAGCAAGAGGGUGGGCCAGGGAGCUGAAGGGGAGGUUGGAAAAGGAAACACCAACUUCAAACGUGACAGUGGGAGCUUUUGACAGGACCUGAGGUCUUUGAUGCCAAAAACUGCAGUCCUAAGAUGAGAAGAAAGUUAAAUGUGGAAUGCUAGUGGGUCUACAAAGUCAGGCAGGAGCCCCGGGAAGACUUGUCUGUGUCCGUGCGCUCUGCUCUGGAGCAGAGGGAUGGUAAUUCCCUGAGGCAAGCUCUUGUCUUUCCUGAACUCAUUUCUUUUUGCCAAUUCUCCAGUCCCUUGGAUCCUAGAGAAAGGGAGAGUCAUCUGGCCAGGCUUUACUCUAGGGAAAUGAGAUGAGAAGGGCAGAUAUGGUAUGAGGUUCAUCCCACUUACUACUGGUCAGGAAGGGCCCUUUCUGCAAGGAAGUCGCUGUUUCUCUUCAACCCGUUUCACUUCUAUAGGUCUUGGACCCAUACAAAAAGUCACAUGAGCAGAGGGAGACAUUAUCUGUGGCCGGGUGUCAGGGCAGCAAGGCAGUGGUGCUGGGACAUUGGUUUUCACUCAAGUCCUGAAUCUCUGGGAGUCAGGAAGAGGGAAAAGUGACAGUCUGAUGGGCUCCGUUUUUCUGACGGCCAAAGGGUUUUAAGAUUGGGCUCUUUCCUAAGGCGGGAAGAUCGCUUGAGUCCAGGAGUUCAAGACCAGCCUGGCAACAUAGUGAAACCCCCUCUCUACAAG
Sapajus apella (tufted capuchin) is the source of this 1654-nucleotide long non-coding RNA. RefSeq lists it as uncharacterized. Lineage: Eukaryota; Metazoa; Chordata; Mammalia; Primates; Cebidae. The record is from RefSeq and is a predicted model, not a curated record. The transcript has 3 exons.